CCUCACAAAAUAAGAUUUUCCAUGAUGAGAAGAAUCAAAACAACUAGUACAAGCUAGUCCUUUGCUACAUUUUUAGUGCAUCUCAUGCCAUUCAAGCUCCUAUUACUUGGUUAAUCCAUUCCAACAUCAAUUAUAGUAGGCUAAUACACAAUGAAAACCAUCUACACACUUCAGAAGUAGAAAACAAAUAGAUCCCAAAUUACAAUCCAAGGUUAAGGACCGAUGGAGAAAGAGCGAUAAACUCCUAGAACCUUUCAGAUGGGUACCUGAUAGGUUUUAGAUCAGUAAACUCACAAGAACAAAGUAUAAUAGAGAAAGUCUGCAACUUUAUUGAUUAUUGAUAAGAAAAGAACAACUUUGAGAGACUUACGGUUCUCUCCCACCUCCUUACAAAGUUCACCAAAACCUUGAUAGUGAUUCCAAAACCCACCCUUCUCUCCUUAUACUACUCUCUCCUCAGAAAGCCGUUAGGCAUAAAGCAUGUGGUUGAAUGACAACUGGCUUAACCACAGUUUAUUAACUUACUAAGGUUUACUAAAGCUUAACUCAGGUAACCAAGGCUCCAAGCUCAUCCUUAAUCUCCUCUACUAGCUUCUGGAACCUUCUUCUUACUGGGCUUUCUUCUGCUCUGACUGUUGGGCCCUGUUCUUUCUUCUGUAUUGGUAGAGCAUUGGUGGAUGGCGUAUCUCCCACGUAUCAACACUUCCCCCUGUGAGACUCACCUUGUCCUCAAGGUGAAAUUCAGGAAACUGACCUUUGAUGGUGGAUUGCCAUUCCCAGGAGCUCUCAUAGUCUGGCUGUCCCUUCCACUUGAUAAGGACCUCUGCCUGGCCUGAAACAGGGUGAAUGCGCGUUCCUAACACUGUUUCUGGUUCCACAUUCAAAUACCCAUCCUCACUCAACUGCUGGGGAAUGGCGGCUGUUACUGGCUGAUUUCCGAUGGCUUUUUUCAACUGUGAGACGUGAAAGGUAGGAUGGAUCUUCGUCUCUGCUGGUAACUUAAGUCGAUAUGCCACCUUCCCAACUUUAGCUUCAAUCUUAUAGGGACCAUAAAAGCGAGCUGAGAGCUUCUCAUUGGCUCUCCUUGCCAAGGUUCUGCGGCGGUAUGGUCUCAUCUUCAGAUAGACUUGAUCACCCACUUCGAAGUUCACAUCUCUCCUAUGUUCAUCAGCUCUCUGUUUCAUUCCCUGUUGAGCCUUAUGCAAAUGUUCCUUAAGCACUUGUAAAAUGGCGUCUCGGUCUUGCAGCUGUCUUUCCAAGUCUGCGUUAGCUGUAGACCCGUUCUCAUAUUUGAGGACUGUAGGAGGUUCUCUUCCGUACACAGCCUGAAACGGCGUCAUCCGGAUAGUAGAGUGGAAGGAGGAGUUAUAGCUGAGCUCUGCCCAUGCUAAGUACUGAGCCCAAGUACGAGGUUGAUCACCAGCAAAACAUCGCAAAUAGGUUUCUAAUCCGCGAUUAGUAACCUCCGUUUGCCCAUCCGUCUGUGGGUGAUAGGCUGUGCUAAAGCAGAGACUCGUGCCAGCCAAUCUAAACAGCUCUUUCCAGAAGUGACUUGUAAAUAUCUUGUCUCGGUCAGAAAUGAUAGUACGCGGAAACCCAUGCAGCUUGAUCACCUCUUGAACAAAAAUGUGAGCUAUAUCUGUCGCCGUGAAAGGGUGCUUCAGCUUAAUAAAGUGAGCAUACUUGGACAGUCGAUCUAUCACCACUAAGAUCGCAUUAUAUCCACCAGAUUUAGGCAGCCCCUCAAUGUAAUCCAUGGCCACAUCCUCCCAAAUCUGUUCUGGUACGGCCAAUGGUUGUAACAGUCCCCCCGGCGCUAAUGUGGAGUGUUUGAACCGCUGACACACAAGACAAGCCGCUACAUACUUCCGAAUAUCCUGCAUCAUACCUUUCCAAUAGAACAGCGCACUGAUUCGUUUCUGCGUCUUGAGUAUUCCUCCAUGACCUCCCAUCUUUCCAUCAUGAAACUCUUUCAUUAUUAGCCAUGUGAUUGGUGAAGUGUUUGAAACGACUAACUUGCCUUGCCGUAACAACCGGCCUUGCACCACUGAAAAGUCUGGAUGAGAACUGUUAUCCGCACUCCACUCCUUGAUGAUUUUCUGCAAUUCUGGGUCUUUGUCAACCUCAGCACAUAUCUCUUCAAGUUGUAUUGCUGAAGGAACUGAUAGAGCAAAAAAAAGUGGUCACGGCGCCUUUGCGAGAAAGCGCAUCCGCUGCCUUGUUCUCUAAUCCCGGUCUAUACUGAAUAUCAAAAUCGAAUCCCAAGAGUUUAGUGAGCCAGCGCUGAUACUCCAUGUUGAUUUCCCGCUGUUCCAAGAGAAACUUGAGACUCUUCUGAUCUGUCUUCACUAUGAAUCUUCUGCCAAGCAAAUAGUGUCUCCACUUCUGGACAGCGAGUACAAUGGCCAUGAGUUCCCUCUCAUACACUGACUUCAACUGCUGCCUCUCUGUUAACGCAUGACUGUAGUAACAAAUUGGUUUCCCGUGCUGCAUCAAAACCGCUCCCAGCCCUACACCUGACGCGUCGGAUUCAACCACAAAAACCUCGGAGAAAUUUGGAAGAGCCAGGACCGGUACUGUGACCAUAGCUUCUUUUAGUUUGAAAAAAGCAUUGCGCGCCUGCUCUGUCCAGUGAAACUGAUCUUUACGCAGCAUCUCUGUCAAGGGUCGUGCUAUCUCACCAUAUCCGCGCACAAACUUGCGAUAGUAUCCUGUUAAUCCCAAAAACCCUCUUAGCGCCUUGAUGUUUGCUGGAAUUUCCCACUCCGUCAUGGCGCUAAUCUUGCUGGGAUCUGCUGCAACACCUUCCGCCGAGAUGACAUGUCCCAAGUACUCCACUUGAGAGCUCCCAAACUGGCAUUUCUUCUGGUUAGCAUAGAGCUUGUGAGUAUGCAGGAGCUGCAACGUUGCUCUCAAGUGUUGAUGAUGUUCCUGAACUGUCUUACUAUAGACGAGGAUGUCGUCGAAAAAGACCAACACAAACUUGCGGAGAUAGGGCCGGAACACGUCAUUCAUGAGAGAUUGAAACGUAGCUGGGGCAUUGGUGAGCCCGAAGGGCAUAACCAAGAAUUCGUAGUGCCCGUCGUGUGAUCGGAAAGCUGUUUUUGGGACGUCUUCUGACUUCACUAGAAUCUGAUGAUACCCAGAGCGUAAAUCUAUUUUGGAGAAGACACUAGCGCCGUGAAGCUCAUCCAGCAACUGAUCGAUCAUUGGAAUAGGAUAACUGUCCGAGACUGUAGCUUUGUUGAGUGCGCGAUAGUCAACACAGAAUCUCCAACUGCCAUCUUUCUUCUUCACAAGGAGGACUGGGCUGGAGAAAGGACUCCCACUCUCUCUGAUGAUUCCAGCUGAUAACAUGGCUGCAAUUUGUUUCUCAAUCCCAGCCUUCUGUGCUUGGGGGUAUCGAAAGGGUUUUACGCUCAUUGGUUCCGAUCCUGCCUUGAGGUUAAUCGCAUGCUCCUUCCCUCGCGACGGUGGUAACCCGUGUGGUUCCUCAAACACAUUUGCAAAUUCUGUUAAAAGUGGUUCCAGCUCUGUAAGUGAUGAGAUUGGCUUCUCCUGUUCUAUCCUUUGAACUCCAUUGAAUUCCACCAUCAACCCUUCUCCUCCCUGUCUGAGUGUCUUCCAUAAGGUUUUAAGUGAGAUCGCUGUGUUAGCCAAGCUGUGAUCACCCUUGACUGUAACGGCUACCAAACCCACAUUGAACUGCAUCACCUGCUCCUUCCAAUUCACCCUCAUGUCACCUAAUGAUUCCAGCCACUGCAUACCCUGGAUAACAUCUACUCCGCCGAGAUCGAGAGGUAAGAAGCUUGUAACCAGAGUAUAUUCAAGCAACUCUAGAGAAACAUUUCUGCACACCCCAGUGCCAAGAACUGUAAGUCCCGUGCCCAUACGCACCCCGUACUCCUUUGUUCCUGAAGUUUCGAUUCGCAAUUGCAUAGCCAUUGUCUGAGACAAGAAAUUAUGAGAAGUCCCGCUAUCGAUGAGGAUAAUGACUUCUGCCUGUUGAAUCCUGCCUCGAAGCUUCAUUGUUCGUGGGGAAGAGAAACCAGCGGCCGAGCUUAGUGACCGAACAGCGCACUCCGCAACAUCGCCGGUGACCGCGUCAAUGAAUUCCUCCUCCCUCGCCGCGUCCUCGCCUUCCUCUGCUAACUCAUCACUCACCACAAGGACCAUAAGAUCUUUGUAACGACACUUGUGCCCCGGUUGAUACCUUUCAUCACAUCUAAAACAAAUCCCCUUAGCCUUCCUUUCGCUUGCUUCUGCAUCUGUCAGCCGGCGGUAAGGAGGUCGCCGUGGUGGAUUAGGUUUAGGCUGGAUUUGGUUUUUUUCUCCAUGGGGUCGAAACGGUGCCGUUGUUUUGUCUGUAUUGUUGUUUCCCUUAGGAAAAGACAAGUUUGCCCCUCCUGUGGAGAAAGACGUAAUACGCGUGUUUUGUCUUUCUCCUCCAAAUCGUGGUGUCGUCUUCUCCGGUAAGUCCUCUGUCGUCGCUUCGCCGGACCAUUCUUCGACUCGCCGAGCCAAGCUCAUCAUUUUCUUCAACCCCCGCGGUUCAAACAUCUUUACACCAGCCCAGAUCUUAGGUUGGAGGCCAAUCAUAAACGCCAUCUCCAGAACUUUCUCUGUCACCUCCGGCGCGUUAGAUGCGAGAGCAAUGAAUCGUUUGCAGUAGUGGCUGACUGUCUCGUUCUGACGGAGUAAGAGAAGUCUCUCUCAUGCUGUGAGAUCAUGAGUAAGGGAAAAGUUCUCCAAGAUGCGAUCUUUAAGCUGUUCCCAACCCAAGAAUGGAGUGCGAUCUCUUUCCCAACGAUACCAUGUCAGCGCUUCCCCAUCAAAACACAUCCGAACAGCCUUGAGUUUCUCCGCUUCAGUGAAAUCCCCCAUCUCAAAGUAUUGUUCGACCCGUUGAACCCAAAACUCCACAUUUUCUCCAUCAAACAGAGGAACCUCGAUUUUGCGUGUCAAAGGUUCGGACUUUUCGGUCUUGUCGUCAUGUGCUGGCGUCGGUAUCGUCGUCGGAACCGUUGGUGGUGUUAGUGUCGGUGUGAACAACCGCUGGACCACGUUGGUGAGGCUCGCGUCUGUGUCUGAAGGUUGAGUCUCAUCACCAGCUUCUUUCUCCGGAACCCAUGAACGUCUCUCUUCCCCCAUGAGGCGUUUCUGUAACAACUCGAGCACGUCUAGUUUAGCCAUUUGCUUCUCGAUAACAUCCAAUUUCUCAAGCUGCUUUUUCAUGCCGUGGACGUCGUCUUCCAAAGCGGUGAGCUUUUUGAUGUCUUUUUGGAGACCGUCGACUGUUUUCUCCAAUUCCUCCACCUUCUUGGUCGCCAUUGAGAUGGGUUUGUGUUUGCCCAGAAUCAUACCGCUCUGAUACCAAUUUGAUAGGUUUUAGAUCAGUAAACUCACAAGAACAAAGUAUAAUAGAGAAAGUCUGCAACUUUAUUGAUUAUUGAUAAGAAAAGAACAACUUUGAGAGACUUACGGUUCUCUCCCACCUCCUUACAAAGUUCACCAAAACCUUGAUAGUGAUUCCAAAAC
Molecule: long non-coding RNA, 5538 nt
Filed under: Capsella rubella
Lineage: Eukaryota; Viridiplantae; Streptophyta; Magnoliopsida; Brassicales; Brassicaceae
Description: long non-coding RNA (CRUB_LNC002504)
Source: RNAcentral